GCGGCUGUGGUGAAGUGGUUAACACAACGGAUUGUGGUUCCGACAUUCGAGGGUUCGAUCCCCUUCAGCCGCCC
RNAcentral lists this transfer RNA (74 nucleotides) under Staphylococcus aureus. RNAcentral describes it as "tRNA-His(gtg)". It matches the Rfam family "tRNA". Rfam says of the family: Transfer RNA (tRNA) molecules are approximately 80 nucleotides in length. Their secondary structure includes four short double-helical elements and three loops (D, anti-codon, and T loops). Further hydrogen bonds mediate the characteristic L-shaped molecular structure. tRNAs have two regions of fundamental functional importance: the anti-codon, which is responsible for specific mRNA codon recognition, and the 3' end, to which the tRNAs corresponding amino acid is attached (by aminoacyl-tRNA synthetases). tRNAs cope with the degeneracy of the genetic code in two manners: having more than one tRNA (with a specific anti-codon) for a particular amino acid; and 'wobble' base-pairing, i.e. permitting non-standard base-pairing at the 3rd anti-codon position. Lineage: Bacteria; Bacillati; Bacillota; Bacilli; Caryophanales; Staphylococcaceae. The record is from RNAcentral.